UAUCGAUAGUUAUCAGGAUAGGGUUAAAAGUUUGUCUGUUUAGUAUAAACUGUUAUUUUAUUGUAAUUGUGGACGCAUAAAACUGUUUAUCUUGAAACUUUUUUCCAGGCUCAAGAGCUGCGUAAGAAACGUACGUUCAGGAAGUUUACAUAUCGUGGGGUGGACCUGGACCAGCUGCUCGAUAUGACUAAAGUACACGCAUCGCUUGUCAGCAAUACGCGUCAAACUGGUUGGUCUAUGUUCAAGAGUGCACUGACGUUGUUUAUACCAUUAUUACCAUAAUGCAUGGAAGUGAAAAAAAAAAAAAUUUAAUAAAAAUUCAAAAUGGAAUUCAUCUGUAAUAUUGGAGAAGCUGGGGACAUAACUAAUGAACAGGAAAUGUUAUUUUAGUGCCAAGAAUGUC
Molecule: non-coding RNA, 403 nt
Organism: Cherax quadricarinatus
Lineage: Eukaryota; Metazoa; Arthropoda; Malacostraca; Decapoda; Parastacidae
Source: RefSeq, a predicted model, not a curated record